AGUGAACGUUGGCGGCGUGGAUUAGGCAUGCAAGUCGAGCGAUCGUAGCAAUACGGGAGCGGCAAACGGGGUAGGAAUACAUCGGAACGUACCUUUUGGUUGAGAAUAGCGUUGGGAAACUGACGGUAAUACUCAAUAAAGUCGAGAGACCAAAGGUUUACUGCCGGAAGAGCGGCCGAUGCGAUAUUAGGUAGUUGGUGGGGUAAUGGCCUACCAAGCCUGAGAUGUCUAGGGGGUGUGAGAGCAUGGCCCCCACCACUGGGACUGAGAUACUGCCCAGACACCUACGGGUGGCUGCAGUCGAGGAUCUUCGUCAAUGGGCGAAAGCCUGAUGCAGCGACGCCGCGUGAGGGAAGACGGUUUUCGGAUUGUAAACCUCUGUCUUCGGGGACGAAACAAGACGGUACCCGAGGAGGAAGCCACGGCUAACUACGUGCCAGCAGCCGACGGUAAACGUAGCGUG
RNAcentral lists this ribosomal RNA (463 nucleotides) under uncultured bacterium. RNAcentral's name for it is "bacterial SSU rRNA". It matches the Rfam family "Bacterial small subunit ribosomal RNA", at positions 29 to 533 of the family's 1533-position model. The record is from RNAcentral.